Molecule: small RNA, 1516 nt
Filed under: Pongo abelii (Sumatran orangutan)
Lineage: Eukaryota; Metazoa; Chordata; Mammalia; Primates; Hominidae
Description: processed transcript
Source: RNAcentral
CAGCCCCGAGCCGCCCGGGCAACGAGCGCCGCGUCCCUGGCCUGCCCGGCCCGGCCAGGCUCGGCCCCCCAGCCCGGGUCCGCCACCCCGGGCCAUGGAGCCGCGGCCCCCAGGGUCUCGCAGGAUGGACCCUGUGCAGAAGGCUGUGCUCUCCCACACUUUUGGGGGACCCUUGCUCAAGACCAAGCGGCCUGUCAUUUCCUGUAAUGUCUGUCAAAUCCGCUUCAAUUCUCAGAGCCAGGCUGAGGCACACUACAAGGGUAAUCGCCACGCCCGACGAGUCAAAGGCAUUGAGGCCGCCAAGACCAGAGGCAGGGAGCCUGGCGUCCGAGAACCUGGAGACCCAGCCCCCCCAGGCAGCACCCCAACAAAUGGGGAUGGUGUAGCACCCCGUCCAGUUUCCAUGGAGAAUGGACUGGGGCCAGCCCCAGGAUCCCCGGAGAAACAGCCUGGCUCCCCAUCCCCUCCCAGCAUUCCGGAGACUGGUCAGGGUGUAACCAAGGGUGAAGGGGGGACUCCAGCCCCAGCUUCCUUGCCUGGGGGUAGCAAGGAAGAGGAGGAGAAAGCCAAGCGGCUGCUCUACUGUGCUCUGUGCAAGGUGGCUGUGAACUCCCUGUCCCAGCUUGAGGCACAUAACAAAGGUACUAAGCACAAGACAAUUCUGGAGGCCCGAAGUGGGCUGGGGCCCAUCAAAGCUUACCCUCGGCUGGGGCCUCCCACCCCGGGGGAACCAGAGGCUCCUGCCCAGGACCGAACUUUCCACUGUGAGAUCUGCAAUGUCAAGGUCAACUCGGAAGUCCAACUGAAACAGCACAUCUCCAGCCGGCGGCACCGAGACGGCGUGGCCGGGAAGCCCAACCCACUACUGAGCCGUCACAAGAAGUCUAGGGGCGCCGGGGAGCUGGCGGGCACGCUGACUUUCUCCAAGGAGCUGCCCAAGUCCCUGGCGGGCGGCCUGCUCCCCAGCCCCCUGGCGGUGGCUGCAGUGAUGGCAGCGGCAGCAGGCUCGCCGCUGUCCCUGCGCCCGGCUCCAGCCGCACCUCUUCUCCAGGGACCGCCGAUCACUCACCCUCUGCUUCACCCGGCCCCCGGACCCAUCCGAACUGCGCACGGACCCAUCCUCUUCUCCCCGUACUGACCUCAACCCUGAACCCCUCCCAUUCAACUCCCCACCUCCAGCCGGGACCCAGGCGUCCGGGAUCCCAGCCCGCCCCUCCUCCCGGCACUCCCUAAAUGAUCUCUCCUUCCCCCCCCCACCCCGAGAUACCGGGUUCCAGGAAAGGGGAGGGGUAGCGGGGGAGGGGGGCUUCAGAAGGGGGGGAACACCCCAGAUCUCAGGGAACCCCGCCCCCUGCCUUUCCCUCUCCCCUAGAAAAGGGGGGGCCGUCUCACCCCCGAGCCCCCUUGGAGACACCCCCCCUCCCAAAAGCCAUGUCCAUCCAGCCCUUUCCCCCCAAACCUAGCACAAAACGGGGUUCACAAGCCAUGGUGGGGGUCCCGGGGAGACAGAAAUGGA